This 313-nucleotide ribosomal RNA is filed under the name Oncorhynchus mykiss (rainbow trout). Its description in RNAcentral is "partial 16S ribosomal RNA". It matches the Rfam family "Bacterial large subunit ribosomal RNA", at positions 2016 to 2477 of the family's 2925-position model. The record is from RNAcentral. Lineage: Eukaryota; Metazoa; Chordata; Actinopteri; Salmoniformes; Salmonidae.
CUGUCUCCUCUUCCAAGUCAAUGAAAUUGAUCUGCCCGUGCAGAAGCGGACAUAAGCACAUAAGACGAGAAGACCCUAUGGAGCUUUAGACACCAGGCAGAUCACGUCAAGCAACCUUGAAUUAACAAGUAAAAACGCAGUGACCCCUAGCCCAUAUGUCUUUGGUUGGGGCGACCGCGGGGGAAAAUUAAGCCCCCAUGUGGACUGGGGGCACUGCCCCCACAGCCGAGAGCUACAGCUCUAAGCACCAGAAUAUCUGACCAAAUAUGAUCCGGCGAACGCCGAUCAACGGACCGAGUUACCCUAGGGAUAA